RNAcentral lists this ribosomal RNA (487 nucleotides) under uncultured bacterium. RNAcentral's name for it is "bacterial SSU rRNA". It matches the Rfam family "Bacterial small subunit ribosomal RNA", at positions 30 to 509 of the family's 1533-position model. The record is from RNAcentral.
AUUGAACGCUGGCGGCAGGCCUAACACAUGCAAGUCGAGCGGUAGAGAGAAGCUUGCUUCUCUUGAGAGCGGCGGACGGGUGAGUAAUGCCUAGGAAUCUGCCUGGUAGUGGGGGAUAACGUUCGGAAACGGACGCUAAUACCGCAUACGUCCUACGGGAGAAAGCAGGGGACCUUCGGGCUUUGCGCUAUCAGAUGAGCCUAGGUCGGAUUAGCUAGUUGGUGAGGUAAUGGCUCACCAAGGCGACGAUCCGUAACUGGUCUGAGAGGAUGAUCAGUCACACUGGAACUGAGACACGGUCCAGACUCCUACGGGAGGCAGCAGUGGGGAAUAUUGGACAAUGGGCGAAAGCCUGAUCCAGCCAUGCCGCGUGUGUGAAGAAGGUCUUCGGAUUGUAAAGCACUUUAAGUUGGGAGGAAGGGCAGUUACCUAAUACGUGAUUGUUUUGACGUUACCGACAGAAUAAGCACCGGNUAAACUCUGUGCC